AAGUCGUAACAAGGUCUCCGUUGGUGAACCAGCGGAGGGAUCAUUACGAGAGUUGCAAAACUCCCUAAAACCCACUGUAAAUAUACCUAUUUUGGCUACUUCGGCAGGCGGUCCCAGGGCGGGGCCAUGGCCUUUUUAGACGCCUGCCAAAGCCUAUAAAACUCUUACUGUUACUGUAUUCUGAGCAUAAAAACAAAUAAGUUAAAAUUUUCAAUUGUGGAUCUCUUGGUUCUG
Molecule: unclassified non-coding RNA, 234 nt
Filed under: Coniochaetales sp.
Lineage: Eukaryota; Fungi; Ascomycota; Sordariomycetes; Coniochaetales
Description: partial contains small subunit ribosomal RNA, internal transcribed spacer 1, and 5.8S ribosomal RNA
Rfam family: Eukaryotic small subunit ribosomal RNA (bases 1-46)
Source: RNAcentral